Molecule: ribosomal RNA, 496 nt
Filed under: uncultured bacterium
Lineage: Bacteria
Description: partial 16S ribosomal RNA
Rfam family: Bacterial small subunit ribosomal RNA
Source: RNAcentral
GAUGAACGCUGGCGGCGUGCCUAAUACAUGCAAGUCGAGCGAACAGACGAGGAGCUUGCUCCUCUGACGUUAGCGGCGGACGGGUGAGUAACACGUGGAUAACCUACCUAUAAGACUGGGAUAACUUCGGGAAACCGGAGCUAAUACCGGAUAAUAUAUUGAACCGCAUGGUUCAAUAGUGAAAGACGGUUUUGCUGUCACUUAUAGAUGGAUCCGCGCCGCAUUAGCUAGUUGGUAAGGUAACGGCUUACCAAGGCAACGAUGCGUAGCCGACCUGAGAGGGUGAUCGGCCACACUGGAACUGAGACACGGUCCAGACGCCUACGGAGGCAGCAGUAGGGAAUCUUCCGCAAUGGGCGAAAGCCUGACGGAGCAACGCCGCGUGAGUGAUGAAGGUCUUCGGAUCGUAAAACUCUGUUAUUAGGGAAGAACAAAUGUGUAAGUAACUAUGCACGUCUUGACGGUACCUAAUCAGAAAGCCACGGCUAACUACGUG